This 647-nucleotide long non-coding RNA is filed under the name Fukomys damarensis (Damara mole-rat). Its description in RNAcentral is "lncRNA (ENSFDAG00000023243.1)". The record is from RNAcentral. Lineage: Eukaryota; Metazoa; Chordata; Mammalia; Rodentia; Bathyergidae.
GGGGUUACCAAGGGGCUGGGCAGGUUAGAAGGAGAACUAGUGUGUCAUAGAGGGAGUGUUUCUGCCUCGCAGGAAAGUUCCAAAGAUCUCGUUGCAUAAGGGCGAAUGUAUUUAAGCUGACCUAACACUGAGCUCAGUGUGGCUAAGGCGGUGAGUUUAACGUAGCUGUUUCAGACCCUCGGGCAGUAGGGCUCACUUGUCCGCUGAGGGAGAGGCAUCCGGGAUGCGGAGCUGCGCGUUAAGCGAGAUGGAGGCGCGGCGUGUGACUUCUCCGGAGCAAGGACUCGCCCGCGCGUCCUCUGUGUCGGCGCCGCGCCGGCCUGUCGCCGGGUCACAGCGGCCUUCACAGGCUGCCUCGGUACCAGAACCAGCCCCUCACGGGUCGUAGCUCACAUCCGGUAUAAUUCACCGCCCCUGGCCCUGUUGCCCAUGCGGCCUGGGUCCCUCACCCGUGGCAGCAGUUCUGGACCCCAUCCCCACCGGAGUUCGUGGCCCCGUGCCACUGCACCCCCAGCUUUCUGCGUGGUAAGUCGCGGCACUGCGCUGUCCCUUUCUGUCUUCUGGCGCUGCACCUCUGCCCGUGGAUGGCUCUGCCUUUCUGAAGGUGAACUGGCUGACCUCUGCCCGCCUGCAGAGCUUGACGGACG